AUUGAACGCUGGCGGCAGGCUUAACACAUGCAAGUCGAGCGGGGUGAUGGUGCUUGCACUAUCACUUAGCGGCGGACGGGUGAGUAAUGCUUAGGAAUCUGCCUAUUAGUGGGGGACAACAUCUCGAAAGGGAUGCUAAUACCGCAUACGUCCUACGGGAGAAAGCGGGGGAUCACUUGUGACCUUGCGCUAAUAGAUGAGCCUAAGUCGGAUUAGCUAGUUGGUGGGGUAAAGGCCUACCAAGGCGACGAUCGGUAGCGGGUCUGAGAGGAGGAUCCGCCACGCUGGGACUGAGACACGGCCCAGACUCCUACGGGAGGCAGCAGUGGGGAAUAUUGGACAAUGGGGGGAACCCUGAUCCAGCCAUGCCGCGUGUGUGAAGAAGGCCUUAUGGUUGUAAAGCACUUUAAGCGAGGAGGAGGCUACUGAGACUAAUACUCUUGGAUAGUGGACGUUACUCGCAGAAUAAGCACCGGCUAACUCUGUGCCAGCCGCCGCCGUAA
Molecule: ribosomal RNA, 503 nt
Filed under: uncultured bacterium
Lineage: Bacteria
Description: partial 16S ribosomal RNA
Rfam family: Bacterial small subunit ribosomal RNA
Source: RNAcentral